GUGAGGAAUAUUGGGCAAUGGGCGAAAGCCUGAUCCAGCCAUGCCGCGUGAGUGAUGAAGGCCUUCGGGUUGUAAAGCUCUUUAGCCGAUGAUUAUAAUGACUGUAGUCGGAAAAUAAGCCCCGGCUAACUUCGUGCCAGCAGCCGCGGUAAUACGAAGGGGGCGAGCGUUAUUCGGAAUCACUGGGCGUAAAGCGUGCGUAGGCGGCUUUGCAAGUUUGGAGUGAAAGUCCAGGGCUCAACCCUGGAAUUGCUCUCAAAACUGCAAGGCUCGAAUUCGGGAGAGGAUAGCGGAAUUGUCAGUGUAGCAGUGAAAUGCGUAGAUAUUGACAGGAACACCAGUGGCGUAAGCGGCUAUCUGGACCGAUAUUGACGCUGAGGCACGAAAGCGUGGGGAUCAAACAGGAUUAGAUACCCGGGUAGUCC
This 425-nucleotide ribosomal RNA is filed under the name uncultured bacterium. RNAcentral describes it as "partial 16S ribosomal RNA". It matches the Rfam family "Bacterial small subunit ribosomal RNA", at positions 354 to 796 of the family's 1533-position model. The record is from RNAcentral.